RNAcentral lists this long non-coding RNA (1485 nucleotides) under Monodelphis domestica (gray short-tailed opossum). RNAcentral describes it as "lncRNA (ENSMODG00000032000.2)". Lineage: Eukaryota; Metazoa; Chordata; Mammalia; Didelphimorphia; Didelphidae. The record is from RNAcentral.
CUCUCUACAUAGCUUGUAUAUACUUCUAAAUGCACACAUUGUCUUCCCCGUUAGAAAGUAAGGACUUCGAGAACACAGACUGUUUUUGCUUUUGUCUUUGUAUCCUCAGCAAUUAGCUCAGCAUCCAACACCCAGUGAGCACCUAAUAAAUGGUUGCUGAUUGAUUGAUGGUGGCUGCAUCAUGUGACCAAAAUGAUUUGUGCCAAAGAAGUAGCAUAAAAGACAUCACUGUCUGGGAAAGCCAGCAGACUACUUGUGGAGUGAGAAUAAGAGACAAGAAGAGAGAACCUGUGUGCUUUCAGAAGAUUAGAUUGGCUCAGAGGUCUGGAACUGGCAGAGACUGCAGAGUCCAACACUCAUUAUUUAGAGUUGAGGAAACUGAGUCUCAAGAAGGUUACACAGGGAAUAAGUUUCAGAGAGUCACUGAAGUCGAGUGGCAAGACAAAAGUUGGGAUGACUGGAGAUGUCCAAGAUACAGUGGAUGACUUUGGGAUCUUCCAUGUCUGCAUCAAGCUCUAAGUGCUCCCUUUUGCCAUCUUCAGGACUGUUGGGGAACAAAUUGUUCUCAUCCAACCCUUCCAUGUAGUACAACAAAGGAUGAGUUUAGAGUCAGGGAAUCUGGAUUCAAAUCCUUGCUCUACUCUAUAUACUUGUAUGACCUUAGACAAGUCACUGUACCUGUCUAUUCCUAGUUUCCUCAACUGUAUAAUGAAGCAAUUGGAAAGAUAACCUAUAAAGUCUGCCUGGAUCCAUGAGAUUCUAAAUCAGGUAUUCUUUGCUGUACUCCAUGCUGACUUCUAGAUUUUCUAUAUUAUACUUCUAUAUUGUACUUUUUAAUAUGCUUUUAUUCCUUGUAAUUGUACUCAACUCAAUCUGUUUCAUGAAAGAAAAUUGGUUUAUUUUAUGAUGGUUUUAAGCAUCAUACUGAAUCUCGAGACAUGGAAGAGUGGCAGUGUAUAUACCAAGGUAGGCAAUACCAGCCCUAUGACCCCAUUCAAUGAAGUCAUCUCUUGGAUGGAUAAAGGCUUCCAAAAAGGCUCCACUUAGGACUCUUUUAGCCCAAGGUCCCUCCCUCCAUUAGAGAUAGAGAUGUUCAGAGGCAAAGGAUUUGGGCUGUUGAAGGGCCCUGCUCAGUCUCCCUAAGACUGAAGGGUAGAUGAGUUGGGCAAAGACUUUUUCUUUUCUUUCUUUUUUUUAUUCUUUUUUUUUAAUUUUGAGUUCCAAAUUCUCUCCCUUUCUUCCCUCCUUCCUGAGAGAGUAAAUGAUCUGGUAAAGAUUUCACAUGUGUAAUCAUGGAAAACAUUUUCAUAUAUCUAAGUCAUUUUGUGGAUGAGGUCUCCAACAAAAAAAUGUUUAAAGAAGAAAGAAAAUUAAAUAUGGUAUAUUUUGUUCUGCAUUCAAACUCCAUCAGUUCUUUCUCUGGAGGUGGAUGGCAUUUUUCAUCAUGAACCCUUGGGAUUGUCUGGUAUCACUGUAUUGCUGAGA